RNAcentral lists this long non-coding RNA (3611 nucleotides) under Lupinus angustifolius (narrow-leaved blue lupine). Its description in RNAcentral is "long non-coding RNA (LANG_LNC003637)". Lineage: Eukaryota; Viridiplantae; Streptophyta; Magnoliopsida; Fabales; Fabaceae. The record is from RNAcentral.
CCCAUUAUCAUUCUAUUGGUAGGUUUGAUGUUUGACAUUGAGUUGUAAAAGGUUGUUGUUGUUAUGGAGCAAUAUUGUUGAAGGUAUGUUACACUUAGUCUUAUGAUUGAAGACUCCAUGUACUAGAUCUUGAACAAAUGCCAUCUUAUGUAUGAUAUCAAGGUUGAUUUUGUUGUCACGAGAAUCAAGUUCCACCCCUGUCUCGAAAAAAAUUGAGAUACCAAACAUAUGCAAGAUGUGAGUGACCAAAACGAGCAUAAGGUAGUAAACGAUUUUUCUCACUUAAAUGAUGCAUGUGUUGCAUUAUUAUGUAUGUCUAGUUCACAGUUUUUCAAGUUUUAAUGGCAUACUUAGAAAAUAAUGCAAGACGCAAACAUCUAAAUUGAGAUUUCCAAUUGAAAAGAAAUUUUUAUUUACAAAAAGAAAAGAAAAAUGUAUUUACAAUUACUAAUAAUAAAAAAAUAUAAGUAUGAAUUUUUAUUAUUUUGCAAUUCCCAAGUAGUAGCGCCAAGUUAUUGAAUAGAGAUUCUGACUAGGAAUUUCCCCCUCCACAACAAAAUGUGUCACUUUGUUGAAAGGAGAUUUACCAGUUGCAAGUAUUUUUAUUUAAUUUUGAGUGAUGAGUGAUGAACAACUUUACUUAAUUAGUGACUUUAAUUACUUACUCCCUUUUCGUGUUCGUUUUAACCAUACCAUAAAGGUCAGUCUCAUUAUAAGUUAAUCAUACCAUUUCUUACGAAAGGUUGGUGUGAAAGACUAAUAAAAUGAAUAAAAUAAUAAAGUUAGCAGUUAAUCGUAUCACUUCUUUCAAAAGGUUGGUAUAAAAAAUAAAACAAUAAAGCAAUAAAUAAAUGUUAGUUGCGGAAAAAUAAAUGAUGGAAAGUAAAUGUUAGUUGCAGAAAGUAAAUGCCAGAAAGUAAUUGUUAGCAGUUAUAUUUAUUAUUCAUCAAUCCUUUUUAUAAAUAAUGUAGUGUCGACCUUACCCCUUUCAAAUUCUUUUUGACAGAGAAAAUUAUAUAACCUAUCAUACUAAACUCUAGGUGUUUGCUUUAAGCCACAAAGUGCUUUCCUUAGUUAAUACAUGAGAGGGUUCUUUAUAAUCCUCAAUACCUAGAGGUUGUUCAACAUAUACUUCCUCUUAUAUAUAAUCAUUUAAGAAGGCACGUUUAACAUCCAUUUGAUAUAACUAAAAGUUGAAAGAACAUGCAUAUGGUAAAAGUAGUCUAAUACCCUCAAGUCUAGCAACAUGAGCGAAAUUUUCAUUGAAAUAUAUUCUCUCCUCUUGAUUAUAUCCUUGGGUUACUAACCUAGCCUUAUUUCUAACUAUCAUGCCAGUUUGAUCAGAUUUGUUUAUGAAAACCCAUCGAGUACCAAUGACUUUAUUAUAGGUCUUGUGACUAGUUCCCUAACGUUUUUUUAUCUCGAAUUGAUUAAGUUCUUAUUGCAUGGUGUCGCGACCCGAUUUUCGGUUGGAAGACCGGCCCUACGACUUGGGAGGAGGCGGACUCUAUUUCUACCUCUCUCAAUUGAUUUGGAGUCGCCAAUACGUUUUUUGUGGUUAAAACGUAGAAAACUCUAUAGUAAGCCCAAUUAGGAUGAUAUGGUCUUAAAGCAGAGAUUCUGGNNNNNNNNNNNNNNNNNNNNNNNNNNNNNNNNNNNNNNNNNNNNNNNNNNNNNNNNNNNNNNNNNNNNNNNNNNNNNNNNNNNNNNNNNNNNNNNNNNNNGACUCGAACCAUAACCUUACUAUAAAAAUUCCAUAAUUAAUAUUUUUAUAAUUAUUUACAUAUAUAGAAUUUUGAAUGAUAAAAUAGCUUAUUAAUUAUAUAGAGAAUUGCAUGGUAAGAAUUAUUUGGAUUUAAUUAUAAAUGAAUUGAUAAGAUUGUUUGGAUUUGAUUAUAUAUUAAUUGAUAAGAUUGCUUGGAUUUAAUUAUAUAUAGAAUUAAGCAUAACAAAAUAUUAUAAAAAACCAUUAAUAUGAUAAAACACAAAUAAAAUCAAAAGCAAAAUAAAACAAAAAGUGCAGGAGUGUGGCAUACGGGUCUUUUAGAACCCAAAAUCCCAAAAUCCAUAAUGUCCUUUACUUCUUCAAUCUGCUUCUCCCUUGGCUUGUCUUCUAUCUUUCUUUUGCCCUCUUGAUGAUAAUGAACAAGGUUCACGUUCAAGGAUGUUAGGAGGGGGGUCACGGUUGUCAUCGCACACAUCAAGAGGUGAAAACCCUCAUCCUCAUCUUCUCUCACGCGGUGGGCCAGGGGGUGAAAUCCGUAUUCUUCCUUCUUUCCAAUCGGCGGCACUGGAAGUGUACUCACGGUGGUAACGAAACGGGGCUGAUUGUAGCUACAUGAUGCAUCUCCUUCUUCUUCACGAGUUCUUCUUCUCCAAUUCCCUUGCAGUAAAGGGGGAAUCGAAAUCCCUAACUCCAUUUUUAUCAUCUUCGAUGUCGGUUUUGAAUUGAUGGGGGAAGACAAUAAUGUCAAUCCCCUAAGGCUUCUUGACAAGGCUGUGGUCUCGAUGCCCCUACCCCGAAUUCAAAUCGGGUGGUUCACAAUGGCUCCAUCCGAUGGGUUACAGUGGUUCGAGGUUCAGGUAUGCGCCCUAUUCAUUCUGCGCGUUAAUGGGUUCUAUUUGCAUGGCGGUUCAUGGUGGUUCCGAAUCGGCAUAUGCGAGGGGUUUCGGAAAGAAAAUUACCCCUUCUGCUAUUUGAUUUUUUUACAGUACGAAACUGGUUUGUCAUACAUAACCGAUUUAGGCUAAAGAUUAUCCAGAAAUGAACCCUAUGUCUUUAUAUUAUAUCGCUGCAUGGUAUACUUCAUAUUGAUAUAUACGUCUCUGUUGAAGCUGAAUGAAUGAAAAAUAUGCGAUUUUUUUGUAUGAUUUUUAAUUAGAUUUGUACAGAACACGUUAAGAUCCAAAGGGCUAUACUAUUUAGUUCCAGACAUAUUAUGGCUGCUAUGUUAGUAUUGCACAAGUAAAAAAUCAUGGUUUUCUUCAUAUUAGAACUAUCAUAACUAUGCUCAUUAUGUUAUUUGAAUAUAUAAAAAAUCAAUAGGAAGUAAACCCUCGACUUAUGUUAGUGAUAUGAGCAUAAGGAUAUGUGAUCCGCAAUGAGUAAGGUUCAUUUAUGUUUACUAGCACUUGAAUAAAUAGGAUGGGUGACUUACCUUAUUAUGUUUUGUUACCUUAUCCUUCUGCGUGUUGAAUCUUUGUUCCAAGAUGUUCUCUUUUCUCUAUCUUUGUUUUCUGUAUGUUGUGUAAGAUACGCGAACUCUUGACGCCCUCUUACUAUGUAUGCGUAAUCUGGUUUUUUUGUUUUUUGAAACUCAUUUGUGUAUGCUCUCUGUUUUUUUUACUGAAAUCUCUCUGAUUUGUUCCCUCUUGUAUGUGUCGUGUGUUAUGGAUGGUAGUAUGCUUUCUCUGCUUGCUCUUUUAGGCCUCUCUCCUUUUGCUGAGUUGUGACGGGUUAUGUAUAAAUAUAGCUGCCUUGUAUCAAGUGUCUUCUCUCCUUUUUUUUAUUGUAUGGUAUGCCUUUCUCUUUAUACUGGUUGGGGAUUCUAUGUGUUACCUUUUGGAUUGUCAAGAAUAAGAGUAACGUUCCUCAUCCUUUCAUUUUCUGA